Molecule: ribosomal RNA, 448 nt
Filed under: uncultured bacterium
Lineage: Bacteria
Description: bacterial SSU rRNA
Rfam family: Bacterial small subunit ribosomal RNA
Source: RNAcentral
ACACCAGACUCCUACGGGAGGCAGCAGUGGGGAAUAUUGCACAAUGGGGGAAACCCUGAUGCAGCGACGCCGCGUGAGUGAAGAAGUAUUUCGGUAUGUAAAGCUCUAUCAGCAGGGAAGAAAAUGACGGUACCUGACCAAGAAGCCCCGGCUAACUACGUGCCAGCAGCCGCGGUAAUACGUAGGGGGCAAGCGUUAUCCGGAUUUACUGGGUGUAAAGGGGGCGUAGACGGCAGGGCAAGUCUGGAGUGAAAGCCCGUGGCUUAACCACGGGACUGCUCUGGAAACUGUGCAGCUAGAGUGCAGGAGAGGCAGGCGGAAUUCCUAGUGUAGCGGUGAAAUGCGUAGAUAUUAGGAGGAACACCGGUGGCGAAGGCGGCCUGCUGGACUGUAACUGACGUUGAGGCUCGAAAGCGUGGGGAGCAAACAGGAUUAGAUACCCUGGUAC